This 445-nucleotide ribosomal RNA is filed under the name uncultured bacterium. Its description in RNAcentral is "bacterial SSU rRNA". It matches the Rfam family "Bacterial small subunit ribosomal RNA", at positions 958 to 1398 of the family's 1533-position model. The record is from RNAcentral.
AACGCGAAGAACCUUACCUGGCCUUGACAUGCAAGUAGUAGAAGGAUGAAAGUCUGACGAGGUAGCAAUACCAGCUUGCACAGGUGCUGCAUGGCUGUCGUCAGCUCGUGCCGUGAGGUGUUUGGUUAAGUCCAGCAACGAGCGCAACCCUUAUCGUUAGUUGCCAACGCGUGAAGGCGGGAACUCUAACGAGACUGCCUGGGUUAACCAGGAGGAAGGUGAGGAUGACGUCAAGUCCGCAUGGCCUUUAUGUCCAGGGCUACACACGUGCUACAAUGGUCGGUACAGAAGGCGGCGAAACCGCAAGGCGGAGCAAAUCCUGAAAAACCGAUCUCAGUUCAGAUUGUAGACUGCAACUCGUCUACAUGAAGUUGGAAUUGCUAGUAAUGGCGUGUCAGCAACAACGCCGUGAAUACGUUCCCGGGCCUUGUACACACCGCGCAUA